Molecule: ribosomal RNA, 497 nt
Filed under: uncultured bacterium
Lineage: Bacteria
Description: partial 16S ribosomal RNA
Rfam family: Bacterial small subunit ribosomal RNA
Source: RNAcentral
GAUGAACGCUGGCGGCGUGCCUAAUACAUGCAAGUCGAGCGAACGGACGAGAAGCUUGCUUCUCUGAUGUUAGCGGCGGACGGGUGAGUAACACGUGGAUAACCUACCUAUAAGACUGGGAUAACUUCGGGAAACCGGAGCUAAUACCGGAUAAUAUUUUGAACCGCAUGGUUCAAAAGUGAAAGACGGUCUUGCUGUCACUUAUAGAUGGAUCCGCGCUGCAUUAGCUCGUUGGUAAGGUAACGGCUUACCAAGGCAACGAUGCAUAGCCGACCUGAGAGGGUGAUCGGCCACACUGGAACUGAGACACGGUCCAGACUCCUACGGGAGGCAGCAGUAGGGAAUCUUCCGCAAUGGGCGAAAGCCUGACGGAGCAACGCCGCGUGAGUGAUGAAGGUCUUCGGAUCGUAAAACUCUGUUAUUAGGGAAGAACAUAUGUGUAAGUAACUGUGCACAUCUUGACGGUACCUAAUCAGAAAGCCACGGCUAACUACGUG